RNAcentral lists this ribosomal RNA (464 nucleotides) under uncultured bacterium. RNAcentral's name for it is "bacterial SSU rRNA". It matches the Rfam family "Bacterial small subunit ribosomal RNA", at positions 28 to 479 of the family's 1533-position model. The record is from RNAcentral.
GACGAACGCUGGCGGCGUGCUUAACACAUGCAAGUCGAGCGGGAUCCAACCGGUGGCAACACCGGGGAAGAUCUAGCGGCGAACGGGUGAGUAACACGUGGGUGACCUGCCCUCAGCUCUGGGAUAAGCCUGGGAAACCGGGUCUAAUACCGGAUAUGACUCCAUGACGCAUGUUGUGGGGUGGAAAGCCUUGUGCGGCUGAGGAUGGGCCCGCGGCCUAUCAGCUGUUGGUGGGGUGAUGGCCUACCAAGGCGACGACGGGUAGCCGGCCUGAGAGGGCGACCGGCCACACUGGGACUGAGACACGGUCCAGACACCUACGGGUGGCAGCAGUCGAGGAUCUUGGACAAUGGGCGCAAGCCUGAUCCAGCGACGCCGCGUGAGGGAUGAAGGUCUUCGGAUUGUAAACCUCUGUCACGUUAGGGAAAAGGUUACGACCUAACACGUCGUGACUUGAUGGUACC